RNAcentral lists this transfer RNA (88 nucleotides) under Escherichia coli. RNAcentral's name for it is "tRNA-Ser". It matches the Rfam family "tRNA". Rfam says of the family: Transfer RNA (tRNA) molecules are approximately 80 nucleotides in length. Their secondary structure includes four short double-helical elements and three loops (D, anti-codon, and T loops). Further hydrogen bonds mediate the characteristic L-shaped molecular structure. tRNAs have two regions of fundamental functional importance: the anti-codon, which is responsible for specific mRNA codon recognition, and the 3' end, to which the tRNAs corresponding amino acid is attached (by aminoacyl-tRNA synthetases). tRNAs cope with the degeneracy of the genetic code in two manners: having more than one tRNA (with a specific anti-codon) for a particular amino acid; and 'wobble' base-pairing, i.e. permitting non-standard base-pairing at the 3rd anti-codon position. The record is from RNAcentral. Lineage: Bacteria; Pseudomonadati; Pseudomonadota; Gammaproteobacteria; Enterobacterales; Enterobacteriaceae.
CGAGAGAUGCCGGAGCGGUUGAACGGACCGGUCUCGAAAACCGGAGAGGCAACUCUACCGGGGGGGUUCAAAUCCCCUCUCUCCGCCA